Molecule: ribosomal RNA, 1467 nt
Filed under: uncultured Bordetella sp.
Lineage: Bacteria; Pseudomonadati; Pseudomonadota; Betaproteobacteria; Burkholderiales; Alcaligenaceae
Description: partial 16S-23S ribosomal RNA intergenic spacer
Rfam family: Bacterial small subunit ribosomal RNA
Source: RNAcentral
GGUUCGAUUAUCGUCAGUUGAACGCGCUGGCGGGUGCUUUUACCUGGCUGCAGUCGAACGGCAGCACGGACUUCGGUCUGGUGGCGAGUGGCGAACGGGUGAGUAAUGUAUCGGAACGUGCCUGUAGCGGGGGAUAACUACGCGAAAGCGUGGCUAAUACCACAUACGCCCUUCGGGGGAAAGCGGGGGACCUUCGGGCCUCACACUAAUGCAGCGGCCGAUAUCGGAUUAGCUAGUUGGUAGGGUAACGGCUCUGGGCGACGAUCCGUAGCUGGUUUGAGAAGGACACGUCAAACACUGGGACUGAGACACGGCCCAGACUCCUACGGGAGGCAGCAGUGGGGGAAUUUUGGACAAUGGAAACCUGAUCCAGCCAUCCCGCGUGUGCGAUGAAGGCCUUCGGGUUGUAAAGCACUUACGGCGGGAAAGAAACGGCACGGGAUAAUACCCGUGCAACUGACAACCGCCUGCAGAAUAAGCACCGGCUAACUACGUGCCAGCAGCCGCGGUAAUACGUAGGGUGCAAGCGUUAAUCAGAAUUACUGGGCGUAAAGCGUGCGCAGGCGGUUCGGAAAGAAAGAUGUGAAAUCCCAGAGCUUAACUUUGGAACUUUGCAUUUCCGCUACCGAGCUAGAGUGUGUCAGAGGGGUGGAGUUACGCUGGCAGUGAUGCGUAGAUAUGCGGAGGAACACCGAUGGCGAAGGCAGCCUCCUGGGAUAACACUGACGCUCAUGCACGAAAGCGUGGGGAGCAAACAGGAUAGAUACCCUGGUAGUCCACGCCCUAAACGAUGUCAACUAGCUGUUGGGGCCUUCGGGCCUUGGUAGCGCAGCUAACGCGUGAAGUUGACCGCCUGGGGAGUACGGUCGCAAGAUUAAAACUCAAAGGAAUUGACGGGGACCCGCACAAGCGGUGGAUGAUGUGGAUUAAUUCGAUGCAACGCGAAAAACCUUACCUACCCUUGACAUGUCUGGAAUCCCGAAGAGAUUUGGGAGUGCUCGCAAGAGAACCGAACACAGGUGCUGCAUGGCUGUCGUCAGCUCGUGUCGUGAGAUGUUGGGUUAAGUCCCGCAACGAGCGCAACCCUUGUCGUCAAAGUUGCUGCAGAAGAAGGGCACUCUAAUGAGACUGCCGGUGACAAACCGGAGGAAGGUGGGGACGUCAAGUCCUCAUGGCCCUUAUGGGUAGGGCUUCACACGUCAUACAAUGGUCAGGACAGAGAGAUGGCAACCCUACGAAGAAGACCCAAUCCAGAAACCCGAUCGUAGUCCGGAUCGCAGUCUGCAACUCGACUGCGUGAAGUCGGAAUCGCUAGUAAUCGCGGAUCAGCAUGUCGCGGUGUCGUUCCCGGGUCUGCCACACACCCGUCACACCAUGGGAAUUGGGUUUACCAGAAGUAGUUAACUACCGUAAGGAGGCGAUUACCACGGUAGGAUUCAUGACUGGGGUGAAGUCGUAACAAGGUAG